This 821-nucleotide ribosomal RNA is filed under the name uncultured bacterium. RNAcentral's name for it is "bacterial SSU rRNA". It matches the Rfam family "Bacterial small subunit ribosomal RNA", at positions 28 to 896 of the family's 1533-position model. The record is from RNAcentral.
AACGAACGCUGGCGGCAGGCCUAAUACAUGCAAGUCGAGCGCACUUUUCGGAGUGAGCGGCGAACGGGUGAGUAACGGGUGGGAACGUACCCUUCACUAAGGAAUAGCCACUGGAAACGGUGAGUAAUGCCUUAUACGCCCUUUUGGGGAAAGAUUUAUCGGUGAAGGAUCGGCCCGCCUUAGAUUAGGUAGUUGGUGGGGUAAUGGCCUACCAAGCCUACGAUCUAUAGCUGGUUUGAGAGGAUGAUCAGCCACACUGGGACUGAGACACGGCCCAGACUCCUACGGGAGGCAGCAGUAGGGAAUCUUAGACAAUGGGCGCAAGCCUGAUCUAGCCAUGCCGCGUGUGUGACGAAGGCCUUAGGGUCGUAAAGCACUUUCGCCAGAGAUGAUAAUGACAGUAUCUGGUAAAGAAACCCCGGCUAACUCCGUGCCAGCAGCCGCGGUAAUACGGAGGGGGUUAGCGUUGUUCGGAAUUACUGGGCGUAAAGCGUACGUAGGCGGAUUAAUCAGUCAGAGGUGAAAUCCCAGGGCUCAACCCUGGAACUGCCUUCGAUACUGUUAGUCUUGAGUUCGAGAGAGGUGAGUGGAAUUCCGAGUGUAGAGGUGAAAUUCGUAGAUAUUCGGAGGAACACCAGUGGCGAAGGCGGCUCACUGGCUCGAUACUGACGCUGAGGUACGAAAGUGUGGGGAGCAAACAGGAUUAGAUACCCUGGUAGUCCACACCGUAAACGAUGAAUGCCAGUCGUCGGCAAGUAUACUUGUCGGUGACACACCUAACGGAUUAAGCAUUCCGCCUGGGGAGUACGGUCGCAAGAUUA